GUGGGGAAUUUUGGACAAUGGGCGCAAGCCUGAUCCAGCAAUGCCGCGUGCAGGAAGAAGGCCUUCGGGUUGUAAACUGCUUUUGUACGGAACGAAAAGGCUCUGGUUAAUACCUGGGGCUCAUGACGGUACCGUAAGAAUAAGCACCGGCUAACUACGUGCCAGCAGCCGCGGUAAUACGUAGGGUGCAAGCGUUAAUCGGAAUUACUGGGCGUAAAGCGUGCGCAGGCGGUUUUGUAAGACAGACGUGAAAUCCCCGGGCUCAACCUGGGAAUGGCGUUUGUGACUGCAAAGCUGUAGUGCGGCAGAGGGGGAUGGAAUUCCGCGUGUAGCAGUGAAAUGCGUAGAUAUGCGGAGGAACACCGAUGGCGAAGGCAAUCCCCUGGGCCUGCACUGACGCUCAUGCACGAAAGCGUGGGGAGCAAACAGGAUUAGAAACCCGUGUAGUCC
RNAcentral lists this ribosomal RNA (450 nucleotides) under uncultured bacterium. Its description in RNAcentral is "partial 16S ribosomal RNA". It matches the Rfam family "Bacterial small subunit ribosomal RNA", at positions 354 to 796 of the family's 1533-position model. The record is from RNAcentral.